This 280-nucleotide ribosomal RNA is filed under the name uncultured bacterium. Its description in RNAcentral is "partial 16S ribosomal RNA". It matches the Rfam family "Bacterial small subunit ribosomal RNA", at positions 506 to 785 of the family's 1533-position model. The record is from RNAcentral.
UGCCAGCCGCCGCGGUAAUACGGAGGGUACGAGCGUUGUUCGGAAUUACUGGGCGUAAAGCGCGUGUAGGCGGCCGUACAAGUCGGGUGUGAAAUCCCGGGGCUCAACCCCGGAACUGCACCCGAAACUGUAUGGCUAGAGUCCCGGAGGGGGUGGCGGAAUUUCCGGUGUAGAGGUGAAAUUCGUAGAUAUCGGAAGGAACACCAGUGGCGAAGGCGACUUCCUGGGCCAAUACUGACGCUGAGGUGCGAAAGCGUGGGGAGCAAACAGGAUUAGAUAC